This 518-nucleotide ribosomal RNA is filed under the name Escherichia coli. RNAcentral describes it as "bacterial LSU rRNA". It matches the Rfam family "Bacterial large subunit ribosomal RNA", at positions 1 to 559 of the family's 2925-position model. The record is from RNAcentral. Lineage: Bacteria; Pseudomonadati; Pseudomonadota; Gammaproteobacteria; Enterobacterales; Enterobacteriaceae.
GUUAAGCGACUAAGCGUACACGGUGGAUGCCCUGGCAGUCAGAGGCGAUGAAGGACGUGCUAAUCUGCGAUAAGCGUCGGUAAGGUGAUAUGAACCGUUAUAACCGGCGAUUUCCGAAUGGGGAAACCCAGUGUGAUUCGUCACACUAUCAUUAACUGAAUCCAUAGGUUAAUGAGGCGAACCGGGGGAACUGAAACAUCUAAGUACCCCGAGGAAAAGAAAUCAACCGAGAUUCCCCCAGUAGCGGCGAGCGAACGGGGAGCAGCCCAGAGCCUGAAUCAGUGUGUGUGUUAGUGGAAGCGUCUGGAAAGGCGCGCGAUACAGGGUGACAGCCCCGUACACAAAAAUGCACAUGCUGUGAGCUCGAUGAGUAGGGCGGGACACGUGGUAUCCUGUCUGAAUAUGGGGGGACCAUCCUCCAAGGCUAAAUACUCCUGACUGACCGAUAGUGAACCAGUACCGUGAGGGAAAGGCGAAAAGAACCCCGGCGAGGGGAGUGAAAAAGAACCUGAAACCGU